CUCCCCCCUCCCCCCAGUCCAAAGUAGGGGCGUCUCAGUCGACCUGUCCAAAAGCAUCCGCUGCAGAGAGAGAAGAGUGACACUCGAAGACAGAAGAAAGGAAAGGAAGACUCCGAGAGCGACUGCGACAGCACUGCAGCAGGACAAGGUGCAAGAGGAACACCUAAAAAAUGAAUCAGCUUCGCUCGCCAAAAACACGUGAAAGGGGUUGGGCCCCUUUGCUAAUUGCGGAGGCCAAAGAGGAGCGCGGAUACAUCAGACCUCCCCCCCCCC
Molecule: long non-coding RNA, 273 nt
Organism: Anguilla anguilla (European eel)
Lineage: Eukaryota; Metazoa; Chordata; Actinopteri; Anguilliformes; Anguillidae
Exons: 3
Source: RefSeq, a predicted model, not a curated record